UUUUGGCUGGAAGAAAUGGUUAGCAGGUUAUGUGCAGAACCUGAAAAAAAAAAUAGUGGAAAAGUGCAUGUGCUUUAAUAGAAAAAAAAAGUACAUCAGUGAAGUGGUUGGUGUAGUCAGAUGCAUAAAACGUACUUUGCACCUUGCCGUCCACUUGUAGCUGUUUGUCCACUAUAGGAAUUUGCCAACUGGCGUAAAUAAACCAAGUGCCGUUUUCCAGAUUAGGAUUCGGCACUUCGUCAUAAAUUAUAAUAACUCAAUCCUAAUUUAUAUAAUAACCCAGCCAUAAUUUAUAUAAUAACCCAGUGUGUAAAUUAUAAUAACCCAGUGGUAGAAUUUUAAAUUAAUUUAAAAUGAAACGUCAAAACACACAACUGCUUGAUUAACGGCCAACCACCAAAAGCUCCAAGUCGCAGCUGUGCUGGACACAUCAGCUGUCUGGGCAACGCAAACAGAUGAGCUGUUGCUAGCUGCAGACGCUCAUUGAGCACAGGAGAAUUGCUUCCCAGCAGGUUGUGUUUCUACUGCAAAACACCUGCGUCCGGCAGCCUUGCGAUCUCCAUUGGCUAUUUGCUCCGCACUUGUGGUGGCAUCGAGGCCGAGUAUCUGCGUCACCCAGGAGGAAGGCGAACGGCAGCUUAUUUUUUUUUUGUUUGUUUGUUUAUUAUUGUUAAUUUACGUUAUGUUGUUUAACUAUGCAUCUAUAAGUGAUAGUCCAUCAAUGUUGUAAGUGUAAUAUGAUGUGGCGAGAAAGUUGAACCAACAACUUUUCUGGGUCCUUCAUAAUACAAGUACCACUGUACUAUUGUAUAAAAUA
Long non-coding RNA from Drosophila albomicans, 817 nucleotides. RefSeq lists it as uncharacterized. Lineage: Eukaryota; Metazoa; Arthropoda; Insecta; Diptera; Drosophilidae. The record is from RefSeq and is a predicted model, not a curated record. The transcript is spliced from 3 exons.